This 442-nucleotide ribosomal RNA is filed under the name uncultured bacterium. RNAcentral's name for it is "partial 16S ribosomal RNA". It matches the Rfam family "Bacterial small subunit ribosomal RNA", at positions 338 to 795 of the family's 1533-position model. The record is from RNAcentral.
CCUACGGGUGGCAGCAGUGGGGGAUAUUGCACAAUGGGGGAAACCCUGAUGCAGCGACGCCGCGUGGGCGAAGAAGUAUUUCGGUAUGUAAAGCCCUAUUAGCAGGGAAGAAGAAAUGACGGUACCUGAGUAAGAAGCACCGGCUAAAUACGUGCCAGCAGCCGCGGUAAUACGUAUAGUGCAAGCUUUAUCCGGAUUUACUGGGGGUAAAGGGAGGGCAGGCGGCAACGCAAGCCUUGUGGGAAAGCCCGCGGCCCAACCGCUGGACUGCGUUGAGUACUACCAGGCUGGAGUGCCGGAGAGGUAGGCGGAAUUCCUAGUGUAGCGGUGAAAUGCGUAGAUAUUAGUUGGAACACCAGUGGCGAAGGCAGCCUACUGGACGGUGACUGACGCUGAGGCUCGAGAGCGUGGGGAGCAAACAGGAUUAGAUACCCUUGUAGUC